This 1594-nucleotide long non-coding RNA is filed under the name Homo sapiens (human). Its description in RNAcentral is "HSALNT0341073". The record is from RNAcentral. Lineage: Eukaryota; Metazoa; Chordata; Mammalia; Primates; Hominidae.
ACUUGUGCCCAGAGUUUGAUUUUCCACAGACCAGGUAGAGGCCAAGAGCCUCUCACAGACUCUGCAGCAGGGUUGCUAUGAUUAACUCUUAAGUACUCCACAACUACACGCUUUUGAAACUGGCGUUGGCAUAGCGUUAGUUCUGUGCAGGGCGGACGCAGCAGGACAGAAUCUCCCUGGGCAUCUUUUCGGAGCAUCAAUUUUACUGCAAAAUUUUGAAAAAACAAAUUUAAUUGAUUUCCAAGGUUUGUCAAGGAGGACAGAAACUCAGAGCACCCUGCACUUGGGGAUCGGCACUAGGAGCUGCUCUCUGGAUGGGGAGAUGGGAGCUAGCAGCUCACAAUGGGGUCACAAGACAGGAGUGUUAUUGGGAGAAUCCUGUUUUGUUGACAAAUACUGAGAUCAUCCAACUCACCAGGCAAAGUUGACUUGUGUAAGUGAUCUUCAGAUAUGAAAAGUGUGGAACCCAGCUGCUCCUCCUCAGAUAGGCGACAUGACAAUUGUAGGCCUGGAGGGAGAUGAGUUGACAACAUCCCUUCCCUAUAACCACUUGUUGGAUCUGAUCUCACAUACACAGACUCACUCCAAAGACUGACCUGGGUGUCUGCUUCUCAGCUUCAUUAACAGUGGGUGCUCACAAGUCUAGUAACAGGAUCUUCUACACUGUAGCUGCUUCCAGUGUGAGCCAGACAAAUGUACUGAAUAUAGGUAAGUACUGCUCAGUUUUCUCCAUGAGCUUCAUCCUCAGGGCCACGUUUCUUAUUCUGACAACACUUAGGGAUGCUUUCCUGGUAGGAAUACUGCUGUUCUUAAUUGCAUACAUGGUGACUCUCUUAUUCAGGCCUCAGAGGUGAUCCCACCACCUUCACAGCAAUGGUCCUUCCCCAGGAGCUUCCCCUGAGAAACGGGCCAUCCAGACCAUACUGCUGCUGAAUAAUGUCUCAUUGGAAAUCUCAACAUUCUUCAUUUAGAACACCACCGCCAAUAUCUACCAUAUGCCGGGAUUAUUGUGCAGGGUAAUUUUUAUUAUUACUUGAAUGUAUAUUUAUAUACUGCAGGAACUAUACAUGUUUAUGGCUAGAAUUACUGUUUUUCCUUAAUAUUAAGAUAGUAUUGGUAGAUUUAAUUAUCUGAAUUUAGUCAUUUGGCUCCAGUCAAAAUGGUUUCUCCUUAGCAGUACUCUGACUUUGUAAAAGUAAUCACAUUUGGAUUCUGUUUCCUCCAGUAGUUUUUAAAAUGAUUUUUUUGAUUAUUCAUAUAACUUUUUUUUAAUGAUCUUUUAAAAACUAGUAUGUGGUUAUAUAUUACUUGUUACACUUUUUGUUUUCUUUAUUUUUUGGUUGGUUACACCUUAAAUGAUUAUUUCUAUUGCCUUUUAAUGUUACUUAGAAAAUAUCACAUGUAAGACUUUUGCUUUUAUAAAGUUAGUAAUACAUUUUCAAGCCUAAACUCUUGAAAUUUUAAUAAUUUCUAUGAUAUUUGAAAAUUAUUUUUAUCUUCUUUUGAGUGCUAAAAGAUAAUAUUUGUCUACCUGAUUAACUAGCACAACUUUUAAAAAGUUAUUUAGCACUCUUUAUAUUCAUUCAUUUGUUUU